RNAcentral lists this ribosomal RNA (292 nucleotides) under uncultured bacterium. Its description in RNAcentral is "partial 16S ribosomal RNA". It matches the Rfam family "Bacterial small subunit ribosomal RNA", at positions 505 to 796 of the family's 1533-position model. The record is from RNAcentral.
GUGUCAGCAGCCGCGGUAAUACGGGGGGGGCAAGCGUUGUUCGGAAUUACUGGGCGUAAAGGGCGCGUAGGCGGUUGGAUAAGUCAGCUGUGAAAACCACGGGCUUAACUCGUGGCCUGCAGUUGAGACUGUCUGGCUUGAGUGUGGGAGAGGAGAGUGGAAUUCCUGGUGUAGCGGUGAAAUGCGUAGAUAUCAGGAGGAACACCGGUGGCGAAGGCGGCUCUCUGGACCACAACUGACGCUGAGGCGCGAAAGCUAGGGGAGCAAACAGGAUUAGAUACCCCCGUAGUCC